RNAcentral lists this ribosomal RNA (481 nucleotides) under uncultured bacterium. Its description in RNAcentral is "partial 16S ribosomal RNA". It matches the Rfam family "Bacterial small subunit ribosomal RNA", at positions 28 to 507 of the family's 1533-position model. The record is from RNAcentral.
GAUGAACGCUGGCGGCGUGCUUAACACAUGCAAGUCGAACGAAGCACUUUAUUUGAUUUCCUUCGGGACUGAUUAUUUUGUGACUGAGUGGCGGACGGGUGAGUAACUCGUGGGUAACCUGCCUUGUACAGGGGGAUAACAGUUGGAAACGGCUGCUAAUACCGCAUAAGCGCACAGCAUCGCAUGAUGCAGUGUGAAAAACUCCGGUGGUAUAAGAUGGACCCGCGUUGGAUUAGCUAGUUGGUGAGGUAACGGCCCACCAAGGCGACGAUCCAUAGCCGACAUGAGAGGGUGACCGGCCACAUUGGGACUGAGACACGGCCCAAACUCCUACGGGAGGCAGCAGUGGGGAAUAUUGCACAAUGGGCGAAAGCCUGAUGCAGCGACGCCGCGUGAGCGAAGAAGUAUUUCGGUAUGUAAAGCUCUAUCAGCAGGGAAGAUAAUGACGGUACCUGAAGAAGAAGCACCGGCUAAAUACGUG